RNAcentral lists this ribosomal RNA (344 nucleotides) under uncultured bacterium. Its description in RNAcentral is "partial 16S ribosomal RNA". It matches the Rfam family "Bacterial small subunit ribosomal RNA", at positions 338 to 699 of the family's 1533-position model. The record is from RNAcentral.
CCUACGGGUGACUGCAGUGGGGAAUAUUGCACAAUGGGGGAAACCCUGAUGCAGCGACGCCGCGUGAGUGAAGAAGUAUGUCGGUAUGUAAAGCUCGAUCAGCAGGGAAGAAAAUGACGGAACCUGAAUAAGAAGCCCCGGCUAACGACGUGCCAGCAGCCGCGGUAAUACGGAGGGGGCAAGCGUUAGCCGGAUUUACUGGGUGUAAAGGGAGCGUCGACGGUGAUGCAAGUCAGAAGUGAAAGCCCGGGGCUCAACUCCGGGACUGCUUUUGACACUGUGUGACUUGAGUGCAGGAGAGGUAAGCGUACUUCCUGGUGUAGCGGUGACAUGCGUAGAUAUCA